This 478-nucleotide ribosomal RNA is filed under the name uncultured bacterium. Its description in RNAcentral is "partial 16S ribosomal RNA". It matches the Rfam family "Bacterial small subunit ribosomal RNA", at positions 28 to 507 of the family's 1533-position model. The record is from RNAcentral.
GAUGAACGCUGGCGGCGUGCUUAACACAUGCAAGUCGAACGAGAAAUGGAGACGGACACCUUCGGGCGGAAGGCUUCAUUUCGAGUGGCGGACGGGUGAGUAACGCGUGGGUAACCUGCCUCAUACAGGGGGUUAACAGUUGGAAACGACUGUUAAUCCCGCAUAAGACCACAGCACCGCAUGGUCCGGGGUUAAAAACUCCGGUGGUAUGAGAUGGACCCGCGUUCGAUUAGCCAGUUGGCGGGGUAACGGCCCACCAAAGCGACGAUCGAUAGCCGAUCUGAGAGGAUGACCGGCCACAUUGGGACUGAGACACGGCCCAAACUCCUACGGGAGGCAGCAGUGGGGAAUAUUGCACAAUGGGGGAAACCCUGAUGCAGCGACGCCGCGUGAGUGAAGAAGUACUUCGGUAUGUAAAGCUCUAUCAGCAGGGAAGAAAAUGACGGUACCUGAGUAAGAAGCCCCGGCUAACUACGUG